Molecule: transfer RNA, 78 nt
Filed under: Vandenboschia auriculata
Lineage: Eukaryota; Viridiplantae; Streptophyta; Polypodiopsida; Hymenophyllales; Hymenophyllaceae
Description: Trichomanes auriculatum tRNA-Ile
Rfam family: tRNA
About the family: Transfer RNA (tRNA) molecules are approximately 80 nucleotides in length. Their secondary structure includes four short double-helical elements and three loops (D, anti-codon, and T loops).
Source: RNAcentral
GGGCUAUUAGCUCAGUUGGUAGAGCGCGCCCCUGAUAAUCGCGGGGCGAGGUCUCUGGUUCAAGUCCAGGAUGGCCCA